This 121-nucleotide ribosomal RNA is filed under the name Sandaracinus amylolyticus. The record is from RNAcentral. Lineage: Bacteria; Pseudomonadati; Myxococcota; Polyangiales; Sandaracinaceae.
UUUUCCGGUGGCAACGUCGGAGGGGCCAUACCCGAUCCCAUCCCGAACUCGGAAGUCAAGCCCUCCAGAGCCGAUGGUACUGCUCGCGUGAGUGAGUGGGAGAGUAGGACGCCGCCGGGUC